RNAcentral lists this long non-coding RNA (311 nucleotides) under Sarcophilus harrisii (Tasmanian devil). Its description in RNAcentral is "lncRNA (ENSSHAG00000022629.1)". Lineage: Eukaryota; Metazoa; Chordata; Mammalia; Dasyuromorphia; Dasyuridae. The record is from RNAcentral.
CCUAUGGCAAGCAAGUCUGCCAAGUUUCCCCUUCUUUAGAAUGAGACUCUUUUCUUCUGGAUGAAUCUUGUUCAAAUCCAAUAACGAGGAAAGAGGAAACAAGAGCUAUAUUUGGCACAUUUUGAUUAGAAGGAUCAUGAAAGCAACUUAUCACUGAAGGGACCACAAAGGCAAGAUGAUCUUCAAAUAGCAGUGUUUCCUCAGGGUCAAAGCUCAGCGAAUCUCCUGUGAGCCCAGGAGAGCACCAGGAGGCCACUGCAGCUUCUCAGGGCAAAGGAAGGAAGCGGCAAAAGUCCAGAGCUCUCACAGCA